AAAGCUUGUUCAAAAUCUGAUUACAUUAGCAAUUUCUCAAAUCCAUUGUAUUAGCUUUGUAAUUUGCUUCCAUGACCCACACAAUCUAUUGACACAGUGUCUUUUUUUUUUUUUUUUUUUUUUUUUUUUUUAAGGAGGAGAGAAAGACCAGUCUCUCUUUGGAAAAUACCAUCUUAAAAAAACUUGGAAACAACAGAUUUCUAGACUGGGCUGAAGGAGGAACCUGAGAACUGCCAGGUGAGACCUGACCAUCAGCUUCAGGGGGAAGGAACCUGGUUUAUCAAACUCACUGCUACGUCUAAGUGCAACCAGCAACACAAGUCUACUAUUAGCUGGAAAUAAUAAACUGCUCAAUGAAACCAAAAUUAUGAAGGCCCAGCCAGGAAACUCUCAAACACUCAUGUUUACAGCACACCUGUGUUUGGCCUCCCAGCUGCCAUGAGUAUAGCAGAAAAGUAGAAUCCAAGAAGUGGUUGAAGGAGGUCAAACCAGGACCACACCUUCCUUUUCAGGUAUAUGAAAUACUUUCCAGCUUUUAUGCAAAAAUUAAUUUGCCACCAUUGAAUGGGAUUACAAUUCAGUAGAUUUUAUCAUUUGACUUUCCUCUUGGACCAAUUCUUCUAAAAACAGGGAGCUUGUAAAUGAUACCUGAUGGAUAUCAAGUAAGAUUUUACUCAAAGGCAGCCUCAACUAUGUCAGGUAUGUAUCUGGUCCAGCAGUCAAAAUAGAAUAAAUGCUUCAUAAAAAAAUAGCA
RNAcentral lists this long non-coding RNA (754 nucleotides) under Sus scrofa (pig). RNAcentral's name for it is "lncRNA (ENSSSCG00060011169.1)". The record is from RNAcentral. Lineage: Eukaryota; Metazoa; Chordata; Mammalia; Artiodactyla; Suidae.